GUCGAGAUAGUGUGAAUUUAAAGCAUUAUAAUUUUUCGUGUUAUAGGUCUCUUUGGAGUUUCGAUG
Molecule: transfer RNA, 66 nt
Filed under: Diplostomum pseudospathaceum
Lineage: Eukaryota; Metazoa; Platyhelminthes; Trematoda; Diplostomida; Diplostomidae
Description: tRNA-Glu
Source: RNAcentral